RNAcentral lists this ribosomal RNA (396 nucleotides) under uncultured bacterium. Its description in RNAcentral is "partial 16S ribosomal RNA". It matches the Rfam family "Bacterial small subunit ribosomal RNA", at positions 338 to 732 of the family's 1533-position model. The record is from RNAcentral.
CCUACGGGUGGCUGCAGUGAGGAAUAUUGGUCAAUGGACGAGAGUCUGAACCAGCCAAGUAGCGUGAAGGAUGACUGCCCUAUGGGUUGUAAACUUCUUUUAUAUGGGAAUAAAAUGUUCCACGUGUGGGAUUUUGUGUGUACCAUAUGAAUAAGGAUCGGCUAACUCCGUGCCAGCAGCCGCGGUAAUACGGAGGAUGCGAGCGUUAUCCGGAUUUAUUGGGUUUAAGGGGAGCGUAGGUGGUUUGUUAAGUCAGUUGUAAAAGUUUGGGGCCAAACCGUACAUGGCCGUUGAAACUGGCAGUCUCGAGUAGGAGAGAGGUGGGCGGAAGUCGUGGUGUAGCGGUGAAAUGCUUAGAUAUCACGAAGAACGCCGAUUGCGAAGGCAGCGUGCCGG